GCACAACGCGAAGAACCUUACCACCUUUUGACAUGCCUGGACCGCCACAGAGAUGUGGCUUUCCCUUCGGGGACUGGGACACAGGUGCUGCAUGGCUAUCGUCAGCUCGUGUCGUGAGAUGUUGGGUUAAGUCCCGCAACGAGCGCAACCCUCGCCAUUAGUUGCCAUCAUUCAGUUGGGAACUCUAAUGGGACUGCCGGUGCUAAGCCGGAGGAAGGUGGGGAUGACGUCAAGUCCUCAUGGCCCUUACAGGGUGGGCUACACACGUGCUACAAUGGCGACUACAGAGGGUUAAUCCUUAAAAGUCGUCUCAGUUCGGAUUGUUCUCUGCAACUCGAGGGCAUGAAGUUGGAAUCGCUAGUAAUCGCGGAUCAGCAUGCCGCGGUGAAUACGUUCCCGGGUCUUGUACACACCG
RNAcentral lists this ribosomal RNA (415 nucleotides) under uncultured bacterium. RNAcentral's name for it is "bacterial SSU rRNA". It matches the Rfam family "Bacterial small subunit ribosomal RNA", at positions 954 to 1392 of the family's 1533-position model. The record is from RNAcentral.